GGAUUGUGGCUUAGUGGUAGAGCGCUUGCCUGGCACGUGCAGGGCCCUGGGUUCGAUCCUCAGCACCA
This 68-nucleotide transfer RNA is filed under the name Marmota monax (woodchuck). RNAcentral's name for it is "tRNA.Ala". Lineage: Eukaryota; Metazoa; Chordata; Mammalia; Rodentia; Sciuridae. The record is from RNAcentral.